RNAcentral lists this ribosomal RNA (404 nucleotides) under uncultured bacterium. RNAcentral describes it as "bacterial SSU rRNA". It matches the Rfam family "Bacterial small subunit ribosomal RNA", at positions 355 to 776 of the family's 1533-position model. The record is from RNAcentral.
UCGGGAAUUUUGGGCAAUGGGCGAAAGCCUGACCCAGCAACGCCGCGUGAAGGAUGAAGUAUUUCGGUAUGUAAACUUCGAAAGAAUGGGAAGAAUAAAUGACGGUACCAUUUAUAAGCUCCGGCUAACUACGUGCCAGCAGCCGCGGUAAUACGUAGGGAGCAAGCGUUGUUCGGAUUUACUGGGCGUAAAGGGCGCGUAGGCGGCGUGUUAAGUCAGCUGUGAAAUCUCUGAGCUCAACUCAGAACGGCCAGCUGAUACUGAUGUGCUAGAGUGCAGAAGGGGCAACCGGAAUUCUUGGUGUAGCGGUGAAAUGCGUAGAUAUCAAGAGGAACACCUGAGGCGAAGGCGGGUUGCUGGGCUGACACUGACGCUGAGGCGCGAAAGCCAGGGGAGCAAACGGG